RNAcentral lists this transfer RNA (72 nucleotides) under Caudoviricetes sp. RNAcentral describes it as "tRNA-Thr". It matches the Rfam family "tRNA". From Rfam's summary of the family: Transfer RNA (tRNA) molecules are approximately 80 nucleotides in length. Their secondary structure includes four short double-helical elements and three loops (D, anti-codon, and T loops). Lineage: Duplodnaviria; Heunggongvirae; Uroviricota; Caudoviricetes. The record is from RNAcentral.
GCCUUCGUAGUAUAAUGGCUAUUACUUCGGAUUUGUAACCCGAAGAUAGGUGUUCAAUUCACCUCGAAGGCA